Nadsonia fulvescens var. elongata DSM 6958 is the source of this 94-nucleotide transfer RNA. It matches the Rfam family "tRNA". Rfam says of the family: Transfer RNA (tRNA) molecules are approximately 80 nucleotides in length. Their secondary structure includes four short double-helical elements and three loops (D, anti-codon, and T loops). The record is from Rfam. Lineage: Eukaryota; Fungi; Ascomycota; Dipodascomycetes; Dipodascales.
GCGGAUUUAGCUCAGUUGGGAGAGCGUCAGACUGAAGUUAAAACUCCAGUCUCAGUUAAUCUGAAGGUCCUGUGUUCGAUCCACAGAAUUCGCA